GACGAACGCUGGCGGCGUGCUUAACACAUGCAAGUCGAACGGAAAGGCCCUGCUUGCCGGGUACUCGAGUGGCGAACGGGUGAGUAACACGUGGGUGAUCUGCCCUGCACUUCGGGAUAAGCCUGGGAAACUGGGUCUAAUACCGGAUAGGAGCCAUUUUUAGUGUGAUGGUUGGAAAGUUUUUUCGGUGUAGGAUGAGCUCGCGGCCUAUCAGCUUGUUGGUGGGGUAAUAGCCUACCAAGGCGGCGACGGGUAGCCGGCCUGAGAGGGUGGACGGCCACAUUGGGACUGAGAUACGGCCCAGACUCCUACGGGAGGCAGCAGUGGGGAAUAUUGCACAAUGGGCGCAAGCCUGAUGCAGCGACGCCGCGUGGGGGAGGACGGCCUUCGGGUUGUAAACUCCUUUCGCUAGGGACGAAGCUUUUUGUGACGGUACCUAGAUAAGAAGCACCGGCUAACUACGUG
RNAcentral lists this ribosomal RNA (465 nucleotides) under uncultured bacterium. RNAcentral's name for it is "partial 16S ribosomal RNA". It matches the Rfam family "Bacterial small subunit ribosomal RNA", at positions 28 to 507 of the family's 1533-position model. The record is from RNAcentral.